GCUUACGGCCAUACCAGCCUGAAUACGCCCGAUCUCGUCUGAUCUCGGAAGCUAAGAUAGGUUGGGCCUGGUUAGUACUUGGAUGGGAGACCGCCUGGGAAUACCUGGUGCUGUAAGCUU
Molecule: ribosomal RNA, 120 nt
Filed under: Lepidorhombus boscii (fourspotted megrim)
Lineage: Eukaryota; Metazoa; Chordata; Actinopteri; Pleuronectiformes; Scophthalmidae
Source: RNAcentral